GAUGAACGCUGGCGGCGUGCCUAAUACAUGCAAGUCGAGCGAACAGACGAGGAGCUUGCUCCUCUGACGUUAGCGGCGGACGGGUGAGUAACACGUGGAUAACCUACCUAUAAGACUGGGAUAACUUCGGGAAACCGGAGCUAAUACCGGAUAAUAUAUUGAACCGCAUGGUUCAAUAGUGAAAGACGGUUUUGCUGUCACUUAUAGAUGGAUCCGCGCCGCAUUAGCUAGUUGGUAAGGUAACGGCUUACCAAGGCAACGAUGCGUAGCCGACCUGAGAGGGUGAUCAGCCACACUGGAACUGAGACACGGUCCAGACUCCUACGGGAGGCAGCAGUAGGGAAUCUUGCGCAAUGGGCGAAAGCCUGACGGAGCAACGCCGCGUGAGUGAUGAAGGUCUUCGGAUCGUAAAACUCUGUUAUUAGGGAAGAACAAAUGUGUAAGUAACUAUGCACGUCUUGACGGUACCUAAUCAGAAAGCCACGGCUAACUACGUG
RNAcentral lists this ribosomal RNA (497 nucleotides) under uncultured bacterium. RNAcentral describes it as "partial 16S ribosomal RNA". It matches the Rfam family "Bacterial small subunit ribosomal RNA", at positions 28 to 507 of the family's 1533-position model. The record is from RNAcentral.